ACAGCAACCUUUCUGUGACGUCACACGCCAGUGCUGUCUUAGCUACACGAGCGGAAUGCACAGUCCCCGACCGUGUUAGUUCUGGAGUGGCUUAUGGGAUGCGGACCCCUCCUUGUCCGCCCCUCCUUAACCAUACCAGGUCCAUUUCUAAUGGCAUUGCUUUUCCCCUACAUUAUUUUCAAUAGGAUAUUUUGGUUCUUCUGUGGAAUACUAUGGUAAAAAUGAAAAGAAAAUUUUUCUUAUUCCAGUAAGGACAAAUGGGGACAAGUCAGGAGCCUCAGAAAAUCUCAAUAGGAGAGAAACUCCAGUUUUCAAUUCCUGGAUGCCUAUCUGAGAUUUCAGCUCUUGCCUCACAUAGUUACAAGGAGGAAUGCUUUGUGGGGACACCAAUCUGAGCUAAGGCCUCUUGGAAGCACAUGGCCCGAUGGAGGAGGGACUGCGAGCUGCGGCUGGGAAUUGCUGACAUGAAUUACUGCUGCGUAUUCCAAAAGUCCGCUGAACCAAUGGGGAGCCAGGCGCUGGAGAGAGGGUCUGUCGUCUUCCUCACAACGUUUCUAAAUCUACAGAUGGCGAUGAGGAAGUGAUUAAUGGAGCGCCCUCCACACAGCUGACCACUUCAUUGGUCAAUAAGGGUCUGAAACAUCACAGGAAUAAACUGAAAACAUGCGGCUUUAACUCAGAUGUUCGUGGGACUCCUGACAUUGCAGGUUAUAGGCUGCAUGAAUUGCCUCAGCUUCUGACAGCUGCAUCUCAAGACGACACCCCUACCCAGAGCAGCCCACAUCCAAUGAUGGAUCAAGCCAGGGUAUGGAGACUUGGCCAUCUCAGCCCAAAUUAGGACCACUCUGGAAAGGCUUCUGGCUCCAGAGAUCCCUAUGGGUUGGCCAAAGCUGUACGUGAGCUGUGCCGCAGCUCCACUUUUCCCUCUGCCCACGUUUGCUUUGGGCGCCUCUCUUCCACAAGUGUUGGUCUCAAGGACACUGCUGUAUAAACAUCCUGCACGCUAAACGCCACUUCAGAGUCCACUUUCCAGGGAACCCAGCCUACAGAGAAAUGGUGCCAGUUCUCUGCUCUGUGCUAGUUAUACCACACUUGCAGAGCUGCCUUCAGAGUUUGGGUAGAGAUUCUGUUCAAUCUACAAAGCUUUCUAUUAGACAAAGCUGCCUGAAAUGACAUAGGCAUCCUGUGAAGGGGAGGAGAUCCUCAAAGAGGAGAUGUUCAAAGAAAAACAGACUAUUGGAAAGAUGAGGGAUGUGCAAAGGGGUGAAAUCAAGAAUGCUAAGGGUGGAUGGGCUGGAUGUCCUCCAGGGUCCCUUCCUGCAUCAAGACCUUAUUAUCUGUAUUAGUUUGCUAGAGUUGCCAUAACAAGAUACCACAGCCUAGGUGGUUUAAACAACAGAAAUGUAUUUUCUCACAGUUCUGGAUGUGAGAAGUCCAAGAUCAAGGUCUCAGCAGCUUUGGUUUCUUCUGAGGCCUCUCUCCUAAGUUUGCAGAUGACUGCUUUUCUUCCUGUCUUCAGAUAGUCGUCCCUCUGUGUCUGUUUGUGUCCUAAUUUCCUCUUCUUAUAAGGACACUACUCAUAAUGGAUUAGAGCCCACCCAUAUGACCUCCUUUUACCUUAAUUACCUCUUUAAAGGCCCCAUCUCCAAAUACAGUCACAUUCUGAGGUGCUGGGAGUUAGGACUUCAACAUACGAAUUUUGAGGGGGCCACAAUUCCGCACAUAACAGUAUCCCAAGGUUUUAUUGUGUCCCAGAUGUAUAGCACUGUUUAGCACACGUUCAGCCCAGUGUUAUUAUAAAAGAUCAAAUUCAGUAUUUAACUACAGAAGCCAGAGUUAGCCAAGGUUAUGUUUGAAGGAGCAAUCAUACAGUUACAGAUUUUUAACUGCCAAGUAAGUACCCAGUUAGUGGCCUCUUAAAAUAGUGCUGUCUUCCUGAGUCUAGUAGCUAUGAAUAUCAUUAUAUGCACUCAACUUAAUCCAGGUAAUCCUAAUGUUGGCCAGGGUAGUCAGAGCACACACACAUAUUUACACAAAGGUGUGUUCACACACAAACAUGGACUCCAUACCCAAGAGACAAAGGGGGUUUCUAGAGAUAAUGGGAUAACUGAGUUUUCUGGGGAUACUAUCCGAGUACAGAAAGAAAAAGGUUACUACAGAAAGAAAAGAAACUUUACCUCUUGUAUUCACUGAGUAUUCAUUUAUUCAUCCAUUCAAACAAUAUCCAUUUGAGUUCCAAUUUACAUGGAAAACAUUGUGCUAAUGGAUUUGGGAAAAACCACCUUGUAAAAAUCAAAAUCCCACCCCCAGAGGAAAGCUUUGGUAAGACAAGCUGUGCUGCAGUAAUGACGAUGCCAUAAAGCGUGGGCUUUUUGUCCUCACAAGGACUGGGCUCAAGGUCCAGCUCCAUCCUGUGUCAGCUGGGUGACCUUUGGCAAGUCACUCAACCUCUCUAAGUGUCAGUUUCCUCAUUUGUGCAGUGAGGGUAAUCAUGACACUUACCCUCCAGUUAGAUUGCAGCCCUUAAGCAGCCUCCUAUGUAGAAAUCCUUGAGUUGGCUCAUACACUGUGAAAAUUAAAAGAGGCUGUGCAUGCAACAUGCUUUCUCAGGCACAUGCCCAGUAAAUGCUAAUCAGUAAGUAUCAUAAAGGUAGAGUGACCAAGUCAUCCCGCCUCCCACCCCCUACUUUCCGGAACACCCCUUAGUGCCAGACAAACCUACUAAGGAUGUCAAAGGAUGUUAUGUGUAAGUGACGUGAGGAUUCAGAGGGAGAAAGUGCCAGUUUUAAUUUGUUUAAGAAUGAGGAAUGGCUUUGUGAAAGGUAAAAGAUUUAAUCUGGUCCCUGAAGCAUGGCAAAUCCAAGCGGAAAGAAUGACAUAGACAAAGAAAUGCAGAUCAGGAAGAGUAAGGCAUAUUUAUAUAAUGGGUAAGUGCCCCCCAUCAGGAUGGAAAGUGGGAAUCUUUGCUGGGGUGCAGUGGAAGUUAAGGUAAGGAGGGAAGAUUGGAGCUAAAAUCCAAAGCAUUCAUAUUAGAUAGGCUGAGGAGGUUGAAGUUGGUACUCUGCAGCAGUGAGGAGCUACUGAAAAGUUUUAAGCUGAUCAGGGAGAUGAUCAGAAGUGCUUGAAGGAGAUGGCUCAGGUAACAGCCUUCAGUAACCCUUGGGAGUGUGGGCUGAAGUGGAGCAGGGAGAGGUUAGGGGAAGGAGGCCAGUACAGAAGAGGCUGAUGAAAUUGUCCAGAGGAGAGAGGAUGAGGACCCGAGCUCAGGCAGUGGCCUUGAGGCCGGCAAGAGGGCUGCAGAUGAGCAGACACAGCAGGAAGAUGUUCCCCUGUGGGGUUUGGCAGACAAUUGGCAGCAGAGACCAAGAGCAGAAAACGAAUCAAAUAUAUCCUGGCCACUGUGCCGCAAACAGAAGUAGAGAGACGAGGAAGAGGGCAACUUUGAAGAAUCUGACAUCAGAGUUGUUGACAGGAAUUGUUGAGGUGGCCAGACACCUGGAAGGAGGGUUGUUCAGCAGAUGUGGAAAUUGUCAGGUCUCAGGAUUGGGUCCCUGGCUAGAGAUAUGGACUUGGGAGCCAGUCCCAGAGAUGUGGGCCCCACAGUGGGACAGAGGUGGAGACUGCUGUGGGGGAGGGCACGGGGGUGUAUGUAGUCAGAGCAGGGAUGUAGAGGGUGAAGGAAAAGCCAGAGACUGAAGAGAGGACACACGCUUAUCAUUCAUUCACCCACACAGAUGUGGGGUGUAUUGAAGUCUGCCUUAACAGUCCCGAAGCUCAAGCUCACUGUGGGAGGCUGACGGUGGAGAGCCCACUAGAGGGCCGUGGGGGCCCAGGGCAGGAUGUCUACGCUCAGGGCUCCAGGCCACGUGGAGCAGAGAGCCUCAAGAGGUCAACAAAUAAAACAAAUCAAGAGACAAGGAGAACCAGCACUGAAAAAGAGUUUUCGAUUAAGGAGACUGUGAGAUUAGAAGUCAGAUUACAAGAGAUAAAGAAAAAAACAGUUGGUGGAAAUAUAGGGACAAAAGUAGAUUAGCAGCUAUUUUUUAAAAUGAUAAUAUCCACUUUGGGCAGGAGGUCGUGAGGGGGUGCUCAGAAAGGCAAACACGCAGCUGGGGGAAGAUGAAGUUGUGCAAAUCUUCUGGGUAAUAAUUUGAUAAAAUAUCAAAAGACUUAAAAAUGUUCAUAUACCCCUGACCUGGUAAUGAUACUUCUAGGAAUUUAUUCCAAUGAAUAAUGAAAUAUUUAUGAUAUUUAUGAUGGUGGAAAGUAGAAAACAUUAAAUAUCUAAUAAAGAUUGGUUAAAUACAACCAUUUAGAGAGAAUACUAU
RNAcentral lists this long non-coding RNA (4328 nucleotides) under Equus caballus (horse). Its description in RNAcentral is "lncRNA (ENSECAG00000049679.1)". The record is from RNAcentral. Lineage: Eukaryota; Metazoa; Chordata; Mammalia; Perissodactyla; Equidae.